AUCCUUCGGGGUGAGUGGCAGACGGGUGAGUAACGCGUGGGGAUGUGCCUAGAGGUGGGGAAUGACUGUGGGAAACUACAGCUAAUACCGCAUAAGCCCUUCGGGGGAAAGAUUUAUCGCCUUUAGAGCAACCCGCGUCAGAUUAGCUAGUUGGUAGGGUAAUGGCCUACCAAGGCAACGAUCUGUAGCUGGUCUGAGAGGAUGACCAGCCACACUGUUUCUCAGACACGGGAAAGACUCCUACGGGUAGGUCGUAGGG
Molecule: unclassified non-coding RNA, 259 nt
Filed under: uncultured bacterium
Lineage: Bacteria
Description: partial contains 16S ribosomal RNA and 16S-23S ribosomal RNA intergenic spacer region
Rfam family: Bacterial small subunit ribosomal RNA
Source: RNAcentral